ACCUCAAUAGCUCAGUGGUAGAGUGCUUGAUGAAUAUGUUCUCGAUCAUCAAAAUGCCAGGGUUCGAAUCCCUGUUGAGGAA
Molecule: transfer RNA, 82 nt
Filed under: Lentinula edodes (shiitake mushroom)
Lineage: Eukaryota; Fungi; Basidiomycota; Agaricomycetes; Agaricales; Omphalotaceae
Rfam family: tRNA
About the family: Transfer RNA (tRNA) molecules are approximately 80 nucleotides in length. Their secondary structure includes four short double-helical elements and three loops (D, anti-codon, and T loops). Further hydrogen bonds mediate the characteristic L-shaped molecular structure. tRNAs have two regions of fundamental functional importance: the anti-codon, which is responsible for specific mRNA codon recognition, and the 3' end, to which the tRNAs corresponding amino acid is attached (by aminoacyl-tRNA synthetases). tRNAs cope with the degeneracy of the genetic code in two manners: having more than one tRNA (with a specific anti-codon) for a particular amino acid; and 'wobble' base-pairing, i.e. permitting non-standard base-pairing at the 3rd anti-codon position.
Source: Rfam by way of RNAcentral